AUGAAGCAGUGAAUCUUCAAUAUAGUGAAGAUGCAAAAUAUCCAGAGAAUUAUCACACCUGCCUCAUUACCUUCAAAAAACUCUGGGUGGGUCACAGCCACCAGAAAUAUACACACGAUGAAGAAAAUAUAAAACAGAAACAAAUGGCCCAAACUCAACAAGAAGAAGAGGAAGAGAUUCCAAAAGGCUUUCUUGAAAAACUAAGGUAUGUCUUGUGUGGAAGGAGGAGUGCACAUGCAGAGCGCUUCCAAUUUGAAGGGUGUAAACAAGGUCGAUUUAACUUGUGCAUAAAAAACUCUUUUUUAUUUUGAAAAUAAUAGUACUCCCUCCGUCCCGGACUACUCGAACGUUUACUUUUCGGCACGGAGAUUAAGGAAUGAGUAAUUAGUGUUUUAAGUAGAAUGGCUAAUAAAGUUGGUGAAUUUUAAGGUCAUUUUUUUAUCGAAUAUUUGCUUCCAAUCCAAAAUUAAAAUUGAAACCCUAUGAAUCA
Molecule: long non-coding RNA, 490 nt
Organism: Salvia splendens (bonfire salvia)
Lineage: Eukaryota; Viridiplantae; Streptophyta; Magnoliopsida; Lamiales; Lamiaceae
Exons: 3
Source: RefSeq, a predicted model, not a curated record